AUUACUCCUACGGGAGGCAGCAGUGGGGAAUAUUGCACAAUGGGCGAAAGCCUGAUGCAGCGACGCCGCGUGAGCGAAGAAGUAUUUCGGUAUGUAAAGCUCUAUCAGCAGGGAAGAUAAUGACGGUACCUGACUAAGAAGCACCGGCUAAAUACGUGCCAGCAGCCGCGGUAAUAAU
RNAcentral lists this ribosomal RNA (178 nucleotides) under uncultured bacterium. Its description in RNAcentral is "partial 16S ribosomal RNA". It matches the Rfam family "Bacterial small subunit ribosomal RNA", at positions 332 to 527 of the family's 1533-position model. The record is from RNAcentral.